This 78-nucleotide small RNA is filed under the name Klebsiella aerogenes. RNAcentral describes it as "partial RtT sRNA". It matches the Rfam family "RtT RNA", at positions 55 to 130 of the family's 130-position model. From Rfam's summary of the family: This family represents a bacterial cis-regulatory element known as RtT RNA. Lineage: Bacteria; Pseudomonadati; Pseudomonadota; Gammaproteobacteria; Enterobacterales; Enterobacteriaceae. The record is from RNAcentral.
CAGCGAGAGAACGUUGCCGCAGGCAACGGCCCGAAGGGCGAGGCGCUUUAGCGCCGAGUAAUCCUUCCCCCACCACCA